CCAAUAAAAGAUAUCGAGACGCAAAAAGAAAAGAAAAAGCGAAGGGACACGGGACUUUUACUUUUACGUCGCCUUUUGUAAUUUCUUUUGUUCGCUUGCUUGCUGCAAGUUCAAAAUAAUAAUAAAAAGA
Molecule: non-coding RNA, 130 nt
Filed under: uncultured eukaryote
Lineage: Eukaryota
Source: RNAcentral